UAGCAUUUACCUGGAUGAUAUAGCGGUGUAUAUGUGAACAACAACAAGGACACAUCACCAGCCGGCGUACGACGCGAUACGGCCGCGUAUUGUUAGUGACAUGAUGGCUUGAAAUUUGAUCCAUGAAAGGGACAAUGUACAAUGUAACAUUGUACACAAUACUCGUCAUUUCCUUUCUCACCAAAGGAGGACGAGCUACCGAGUGUUACUCGUGUGAGUAUGGAAUCCGACAAUUCGACUGUCUGCAGCUACCUACCCUGACAUGUGCAGAAGGGGAGGUGUGUUACACUGAAGUUCAGAGACGGGUUCUGGAGGGCAAAAGAUAUUAUAAAGGUUGCAUGGACAGAAACAGGUGCUACAACAAAAUGAGUUUGAACGAAGACGUCUUCUGCGACACUGUCUCUAAUUACUGUACCUAUUGUUGUGAAGGUGAUAUCUGCAAUGCAUACAACACUGCCGCUGGAGGGCGCUUAAUGACGUCUACUUGGUAUAUCUGCGCAUUUAUUUUGUUUCUGAGGCUGACUAAAAUGUAUUAACUAUCAGCAGGUGUCAUUAAAUAUGUGUCGUAUGCUUAAAAUUCAUCACAUUGUAACAUAUUUUAUUCGUGCUUAUAUUAUCAAUAUGUACUUGUGAAGACUAUGUACAUGUUUAGAUAAACAUAACAGUAGGUAUCCUUCCAUUUUCCGACAAGUUGUGUAUAUCUUGGGAAAUAAAACAUUUU
This is a long non-coding RNA of Mizuhopecten yessoensis (Yesso scallop), 721 nucleotides long. RefSeq lists it as uncharacterized. The record is from RefSeq and is a predicted model, not a curated record. NCBI's taxonomy places the organism in Eukaryota, Metazoa, Mollusca, Bivalvia, Pectinida, Pectinidae. The transcript has 3 exons.